Molecule: non-coding RNA, 89 nt
Rfam family: Burkholderia RNA 7 (anti-hemB)
About the family: This RNA motif was identified by computational search in b-proteobacteria Burkholderia. Co-purified with Hfq, expression confirmed by Northern blot.
UCUCCCGCUUCACCUCCCUGAGCGGGUGCCUCACGCCUGGUGAGGCAUUUUCGCCCCCGACUACGUCCCCUGGUCGGGGGCUUUUGUUU